Molecule: long non-coding RNA, 472 nt
Organism: Perognathus longimembris pacificus (Pacific pocket mouse)
Lineage: Eukaryota; Metazoa; Chordata; Mammalia; Rodentia; Heteromyidae
Exons: 3
Source: RefSeq, a predicted model, not a curated record
UCACCCCUCCUGAAUGUCUUGGGCUUCAGGAAGGUAACAACACCCUGAGCCCAACUUAGUGCAGGAUACAGAAACCAGAGCUGGGCCUGCCUCAGCUCAGUGUACCCUGUGGCCCAAAUUCUCAGGUGUCAGCUGAGUGCUUGAGACAUGGGGCCAAGAUAAAUGUUCAUAGGUGGAAAAGUAGCUCUGCCUUCCAAGUUAGGGAGACAGUGUUGACCACUGGCCAAGAAAACACAAUAUCAAUGACAGGGAAGGAGAGAUAACCUGUUCAGGUACAAACUUCCUUUCAGAUCUGAUGAGGUAUCUUCAAGAGUCAAGGUACAUCAAGAUCUUCUAAAAUGAUCCUGGGUUUCUCCUGUGUUAAGACAAUUUCCACAUGAAAUAGUGGGAAUAAAAACAUAAAGCUUAGUCUGGACGGGCGCCAGGGACUCAUACCUGCAAUACUAUCUACUCAUGAGACUGAGAUCUGAGG